Molecule: long non-coding RNA, 2568 nt
Organism: Herpailurus yagouaroundi (jaguarundi)
Lineage: Eukaryota; Metazoa; Chordata; Mammalia; Carnivora; Felidae
Exons: 5
Source: RefSeq, a predicted model, not a curated record
GGGGGGCGCCCCCCUCCUGGCGUCCUUUCUCCUGAUCCCGCCUCUCAGCUGUCAGAGAUCUGACCCGGGGAACGGUGCACCCAGAACUACUGCUCCGGAUUUCGGAGGAGGUGGGAAAGGAGUCCUCUCACUGCCCCACAUUCCACGGCUUUGGAGAUUCCUCGAUGGCACCCGCAUCCCUCUGUGAGCCAGGGUUGUACUAGGAAUGAUCACGGAUCAGGGAGGGGUAUCCUUUUCAUCCGCGGAGGAGAGAGGGACUCCCCGCACCCUACACCUGACUGCGGCGGGGUGUGUGCGUGUGUGUGCGCGUUUGUGUGUUCCUGCUCUAUGAGACUUUUCCCUCUUGUACCUUACAAACCACGCUGCCUUCUGGAGAAUGUACGUCUCAGCGGGUAACUGAUUCACAGAUCCACUGCAAGUCGUUACAGGGUCUCCUCCGCCUCAUCCAGUCCGACCGAGCGGCGAAGCCCGGGUUCAGCAGGCAGAGGCCGCGCCUCAGGGCUCUCAGGCUCUCCCCACCGCGCCCAGUGUCCGCCGCUCUCACCGCCCUUCUGGGCAGGCUCGGAACCACCAGAGCCUGCGGGACGCCCUUCGCCUCUCCCUCCACUCCAGGGACACUUGCAUAACGGGGAUCUAGAGCAACUCCUUCGCGUUGACCGCGGACGCCCCAGGGCCCGGGCAGCGACCCGCAGGUGGAAGCCGGGUGAAAACUGCCAAGGAGGGAGGUCAGCCCAGCGCGUCCUUGAGAACCCCAUGCUCCUGCUAAGCAGGACCCCAGGCGGAGGGAGCUUAGCGCAGAAGUCGGCGCUCAGCCAGCUCAGAGCUGGGUCCGCCGCACGCAGCCCCCGCGCCCCGCGCUGGCCCCGCCCCCGCGGCCCAUACCUGACCCACGUCCUCGCUGGCUUCCAGCUGCACGUUGCCGCGGCUCCGGCUUUCGCUGUCGCUCAGCAGAUCGUCCUCUGAGUCCUCGGGCAGCGACGAGGAGCCAGUAGAGGAGAGCGACGAGGUGGAGAGGCGGCGCGGCUGCUGCAGGUGUGAGGAGCCCACGGCCGGGAGCCAGCCACCCUCCGGCUCCGGUGGCCCCGGGCUGGUCGGGGGUGACCGGGAAGCUCAGACCUCGUGGACACAAAGUCAGGGCCUGGCCUUCGCAACCUCUCUGUCCCCGCUCUCGAAGAGACCGGAGGGGUCGCUCCGCCCCCGGGCCCUACUGCCUUGGAACUGGUCCUGCUCUCGCUCUCCUACCCAGUCCCUCCGGCUCCUUUCCACGAUCCAUCCUGGGCCAAGGAUUCCUGGUCUCCGGGCUUUCCUUCAGCAUGGAAUGCAAGGCCAUCAGCUUCCUGGGGAAGCCUCACCCCAGGGCGUGCGCCCAAGUGGGGACUCUGUCCUGGGCAAGACCUGAGGCUUCUUCCCCCCAAGCUCCCCACUUCUCAGCUGGCAGAGAACAAGGUCAGGGGGGCGGGGCCUGAAUCUCGCGGCGAGUCCUGGCGCAGUCCUGGGCAGCAUCCCUUGGCUACUGGCUGGCAGGGGCUGUGCCCUUCUGACUCCUUUUUCUGUGGAAUUCGGAGCGUGGAGUCUGCUGUGUGAUCCUAAGCAAGUCAUUUCACCUCCUUGAACUGUUGAUUCUUUUCCGCAGGGUUGUCGUCUACCUCACAGAAUUGCUAGGAGAAUAAAAUAAAAUGAAAGAUGUAAAAUCUAUACAAUAUGAGAAUAGUUUUAGUGUGGGUGGUAGGAAGAGCCAGUCUCAGGUUCAUCACACUCUAGAUGUGAUCUUUGACGUCUCUUCCCUUUGUAAAUUUAGGGAAACCUCACCUGACCCAGAGUUGUGGCUGUGACAGGGUAAGAGAGCCACGACGCUGGCUCAUCCGUGGUAUCGUGGUGCAGUAUUUGGCCACUUCACAAGUUAGUGGUCGGCUGAACUGCAGGGCUGCUGUAAGUAGAGUUUGUAUUUCACAGCAUUUCUUGUCUUCCCCCAAAAUGCCACCGGGGAGGAUCCCUCCUCAGGUGCCUCGUGCCUCAGGAUUGUUGGGGACCCUGUGGGGCAGGAUGCCGCAGAAGGAUUGCCUCUGAUGCUGAUGAAGGCCAAAAGAAGCUCUCCUUCCCCUCAUCUCCCUUCAGCUAGAUUCAAGGAUGGCCCAGGAGGAGACAAAAGGAGGGUUCAGAGAGAGAAAAUGGGAAGCUUCAGCAGAGCAAAAAGGAGAAGGCACUUGUCCUAAGCCCAGAAAGCAAAGAAGAGCUCUUUGCCCUAUUUUCCAAGUAUCCCUCAGUGGAAAGCUUACACAUACGUAACAGUCUUUGCAAGAGCUUAAAAGAGUCAAAGUCAUGUAUCAUCCUCUUCUCUUCAAGAACACCAGACCAGAUAUGGGAGCAACAACAAAAGAACAAAACUGGAAACCGAGAAAGACGAACACCUGUGGAGAAGAAUCUAUGGGAUGGGGAGGGAUAAGAAGGGCAGAAGACUGCUGCUUUUCACUAUAAAUCAAUACGUCUUAUGGGUCUAUGUGUGCACACAAACACGUGGAUGUGAAGAGUACAUGUUACUUCAAUAAUUAAAAAAAUUAACUGGAGCAA